This 28-nucleotide non-coding RNA is filed under the name Rattus norvegicus (Norway rat). The record is from RNAcentral. Lineage: Eukaryota; Metazoa; Chordata; Mammalia; Rodentia; Muridae.
UAUUUUUUUAAACUAAAUUUAGGCUGGC